AAUCCAUAGGUUAAUGAGGCGAACCGGGGGAACUGAAACAUCUAAGUACCCCGAGGAAAAGAAAUCAACCGAGAUUCCCCCAGUAGCGGCGAGCGAACGGGGAGGAGCCCAGAGCCUGAAUCAGCAUGUGUGUUAGUGGAAGCGUCUGGAAAGGCGCGCGAUACAGGGUGACAGCCCCGUACACAAAAGCGCAUGUGCUGUGAGCUCGAUGAGUAGGGCGGGACACGUGGUAUCCUGUCUGAAUAUGGGGGGACCAUCCUCCAAGGCUAAAUACUCCUGACUGACCGAUAGUGAACCAGUACCGUGAGGGAAAGGCGAAAAGAACCCCGGCGAGGGGAGUGAAAAAGAACCUGAAACCGUGUACGUACAAGCAGUGGGAGCACAGGUUUACCUGUGUGACUGCGUACCUUUUGUAUAAUGGGUCAGCGACUUAUAUUCUGUAGCAAGGUUAACCGUAUAGGGGAGCCGUAGGGAAACCGAGUCUUAAUUGGGCGUUAAGUUGCAGGGUAUAGA
This 513-nucleotide ribosomal RNA is filed under the name Salmonella enterica subsp. enterica serovar Bareilly. Its description in RNAcentral is "partial 23S ribosomal RNA". It matches the Rfam family "Bacterial large subunit ribosomal RNA", at positions 161 to 713 of the family's 2925-position model. Lineage: Bacteria; Pseudomonadati; Pseudomonadota; Gammaproteobacteria; Enterobacterales; Enterobacteriaceae. The record is from RNAcentral.